This 459-nucleotide ribosomal RNA is filed under the name uncultured bacterium. Its description in RNAcentral is "partial 16S ribosomal RNA". It matches the Rfam family "Bacterial small subunit ribosomal RNA", at positions 338 to 795 of the family's 1533-position model. The record is from RNAcentral.
CCUACGGGAGGCAGCAGUGAGGAAUAUUGGUCAAUGGGCGCGAGCCUGAACCAGCCAAGUAGCGUGAGGGAAGACGGUCCUAUGGGUUGUAAACCUCUUUUGUCGAGGAACAAAGUGAGCCACGCGUGCCGUUCCGAGAGUACCCGAAGAAAAAGCAUCGGCUAACUCCGUGCCAGCAGCCGCGGUAAUACGGAGGAUGCGAGCGUUAUCCGGAUUUAUUGGGUUUAAAGGGUGCGCAGGGGGUAGAUCAAGGCAGUGGUAAAAUUGAGAGGCUCAACCUCUGAGAGCCGUUGAUAAUGGCUUUCUUGAGUGAGGGAGAAGUAUGCGGAAUUCGUGGUGUAGCGGUGAAAGGCAUAGAUAUCACGCAGAACUCCGAUUGCGAAGGCAGCAUACUGGCGUUCAACUGACGCUGAUGCACGAAAGUGUGGGUAUCGAACAGGAUUAGAUACCCUAGUAGUC